Molecule: ribosomal RNA, 200 nt
Filed under: uncultured bacterium
Lineage: Bacteria
Description: partial 16S ribosomal RNA
Rfam family: Bacterial small subunit ribosomal RNA
Source: RNAcentral
GAUGAACGCUAGCGGCAGGCUUAAUACAUGCAAGUCGUGGGGCAGCGCAGUGUAGCAAUACAUGGGCGGCGACCGGCAAACGGGUGCGGAACACGUACGCAACCUUCCUUCAAGUGGGGGAUAGCCCGGGGAAAACCCGGAUUAAUACCCCGUAAUACUGUUAAGUGGCAUCACUUGACAUUUAUAGCUCCGGCGCUUGA